AACGAACGCUGGCGGCAUGCCUAACACAUGCAAGUCGAACGAGACCUUCGGGUCUAGUGGCGCACGGGUGCGUAACGCGUGGGAACCUGCCCUUAGGUUCGGAAUAACUCCCCGAAAGGGGUGCUAAUACCGGAUAAUGUCUUCGGACCAAAGAUUUAUCGCCUUUGGAUGGGCCCGCGUUGGAUUAGCUAGUUGGUAGGGUAAAAGCCUACCAAGGCGACGAUCCAUAGCUGGUCUGAGAGGAUGAUCAGCCACACUGGGACUGAGACACGGCCCAGACUCCUACGGGAGGCCGCAGUGGGGAAUAUUGGACCAUGGGCGAAAGCCUGAUCCAGCAAUGCCGCGUGAGUGAUGAAGGCCUUAGGGUUGUAAAGCUCUUUUACCCGGGAUGAUAAUGACAGUACCGGGAGAAUAAGCGCCGGCUAACUCCGUG
RNAcentral lists this ribosomal RNA (433 nucleotides) under uncultured bacterium. RNAcentral's name for it is "partial 16S ribosomal RNA". It matches the Rfam family "Bacterial small subunit ribosomal RNA", at positions 29 to 507 of the family's 1533-position model. The record is from RNAcentral.